GACCUCGGAUCAGGUAGGGAUACCCGCUGAACUUAAGCAUAUCAAUAAGCGGAGGAAAAGAAACCAACA
Molecule: ribosomal RNA, 69 nt
Filed under: Arthroderma uncinatum
Lineage: Eukaryota; Fungi; Ascomycota; Eurotiomycetes; Onygenales; Arthrodermataceae
Description: partial 28S ribosomal RNA
Rfam family: Eukaryotic large subunit ribosomal RNA
Source: RNAcentral